RNAcentral lists this ribosomal RNA (1473 nucleotides) under Bacillus cereus. RNAcentral describes it as "bacterial SSU rRNA". It matches the Rfam family "Bacterial small subunit ribosomal RNA". Lineage: Bacteria; Bacillati; Bacillota; Bacilli; Caryophanales; Bacillaceae. The record is from RNAcentral.
AGAGUUAUCCUGGCUCGGAUGAACGCUGGCGGCGUGCCUAUACAUGCAAGUCGAGCGAAUGGAUUAAGAGCUUGCUCUUAUGAAGUUAGCGGCGGACGUGAGUAACACGUGGGUAACCUGCCCAUAAGACUGGGAUAACUCCGGGACCGGGGCUAAUACCGGAUAACAUUUUGAACCGCAUGGUUCGAAAUUGAAAGGCGGCUUCGGCUGUCACUUAUGGAUGGACCCGCGUCGCAUUAGCUAGGGUGAGGUAACGGCUCACCAAGGCAACGAUGCGUACGACCUGAGAGGGUGAUCGGCCACACUGGGACUGAGACACGGCCCAGACUCCUACGGGAGGCAGCAGUAGGGAAUCUUCCGCAAUGGACGAAAGUCUGACGGAGACGCCGCGUGAGUGAUGAAGGCUUUCGGGUCGAAACUCUGUUGUUAGGGAAGAACAAGUGCUAGUUGAAUAAGCUGGCACCUUGACGGUACCUAACCAGAAAGCCACGGCUAACUACGUGCCAGCAGCCGCGGUAAUACGUAUGGCAAGCGUUAUCCGGAAUUAUUGGGCAAAGCGCGCGCAGGUGGUUUCUUAAGUCUGAUGUGAAAGCCCACGGCUCAACCGUGGAGGGUCAUUGGAAACUGGGAGACUUGAGUGCAGAAGAGGAAAGUGGAACCAUGUGUAGCGGUGAAAUGCGUAGAGAUGGAGGAACACCAGUGGCGAAGGCGACUUUCUGGUCUGUAACUGACACUGAGGCGCGAAAGCGUGGGGAGCAAACAGGAUUAGAUACCCUGGUAGUCCACGCCGUAAACGAUGUGCUAAGUGUUAGAGGGUUUCCCCCUUUAGUGCUGAAGUUAACGCAUAAAGCACUCCGCCUGGGGAGUACGGCCGCAAGGCUGAAACUCAAAGGAAUUGACGGGGGCCCGCACAAGCGGUGGAGCAUGUGGUUUUUCGAAGCAACGCGGAGAACCUUACCGUCUUGACAUCCUCUGACAACCCUAGAGAUAGGGCUUCUCCUUCGGGAGCAGAGUGACAGGUGGUGCAUGGGUGUCGUCAGCUCGUAUCGUGAGAUGUUGGGUUAAGUCCCGCAAAGCGCAACCCUUGAUCUUAGUCCAUCAUUUAGUUGGGCACUCUAAAGUGACUGCCGGUGACAAACCGGAGGAAAGUGGGGAUGACGUCAAAUCAUCAUGCCCCUUAUGACCUGGGCUACACACGUGCUACAAUACGGUACAAAGAGCUGCAAGACCGCGGUGGAGCUAAUCUCAUAAAACCGUUCUCAGUUCGGAUUGUAGGCUGCAACUUGCCUACAUGAAGCUGGAAUCGCUAGUAAUCGCGGAUCAGCAUGCCGCGGUGAAUAUCCCGGGCCUUGUACACACCGCCCGUCACACCACGAGAGUUUGUAACACCCGAAGUCGGUGGGGUAACCUUUUUGGAGCCAGCCGCCUAAGGUGGGACAGAUGAUUGGGGUGAAGUCGUAACAAGGUAGCCGU